GCUCCCUGAACGAAGAUGCGAGAAGAAGCCUGACCGCAGUUUCCCAUCAGGAACCAACAUGUCACCCUACGUGUAAUGUAACUUGCCUGCUUUACCCAUCCAGAAUGGACUGACUCACUGGUCCUGCAUUUGGAUGUGGGGGACAGGCCACACCUGACAGCAGGGAUGCCAACUUAACCACAGACCACUGCAGGUACAGAGUCAGAGUUCCCAACAGCAGGGCCAGGACCACACACCAUCCCUGCUGACCAUGGACAGUGCAUAGCAGAGGGAGAGUUUUCCACUCUGCAGGACCAGAGCCCACCGUUGCCCCUGGGAAGUCCCACCACCACCACACUUCCCGCAGUGUCCACACCUGUGGGGAAAUGGGCAGAGGUCAGGAUGCUGGCCGCCUGCCCCCAGGCUCUGCCCCCUAGGCGCCCCCACCUCAUAGCCCUACCACUCUAUUACCACACAAAAAUAACUUUGUAAAUAGUUUGCA
Alligator sinensis (Chinese alligator) is the source of this 481-nucleotide long non-coding RNA. RefSeq lists it as uncharacterized. The record is from RefSeq and is a predicted model, not a curated record. The transcript is spliced from 3 exons. Lineage: Eukaryota; Metazoa; Chordata; Crocodylia; Alligatoridae.